GCUUAUAUAAAAUUUCAUAAUUGGUUGGAUAGAUCUACACUUUCUUUUAUCACCUAAUAAUACAUGUAUAAAUUAACAAAAUAAUCUCAGGGAUUACGUUCGCAAUAAAUUCCAACGUAAUGUUUGAAAUUUUAAAAGAACCUUUGCAAAAAAAUGGAAAAGUUUUAUAUGUACUCAAUUUCUCCAUUACAUUUUCCAAUUUAUUUGUUUGGUGAAAAAU
This 220-nucleotide long non-coding RNA is filed under the name Salvia miltiorrhiza (redroot sage). Its description in RNAcentral is "long non-coding RNA (SMIL_LNC014021)". The record is from RNAcentral. Lineage: Eukaryota; Viridiplantae; Streptophyta; Magnoliopsida; Lamiales; Lamiaceae.